CCUACGGGUGGCACCAGUAGGGAAUCUUCGGCAAUGGACGAAAGUCUGACCGAGCAACGCCGCGUGAGUGAAGAAGGUUUUCGGAUCGUAAAACUCUGUUGGUAGAGAAGAACGUUAGUGAGAGUGGAAAGCUCAUCAAGUGACGGUAACUACCCAGAAAGGGACGGCUAACUACGUGCCAGCAGCCGCGGUAAUACGUAGGUCCCGAGCGUUGUCCGGAUUUAUUGGGCGUAAAGCGAGCGCAGGUGGUUUAUUAAGUCUGGUGUAAAAGGCAGUGGCUCAACCAUUGUAUGCAUUGGAAACUGGUAGACUUGAGUGCAGGAGAGGAGAGUGGAAUUCCAUGUGUAGCGGUGAAAUGCGUAGAUAUAUGGAGGAACACCGGUGGCGAAAGCGGCUCUCUGGCCUGUAACUGACACUGAGGCUCGAAAGCGUGGGGAGCAAACAGGAUUAGAUACCCCUGUAGUC
RNAcentral lists this ribosomal RNA (465 nucleotides) under uncultured bacterium. Its description in RNAcentral is "bacterial SSU rRNA". It matches the Rfam family "Bacterial small subunit ribosomal RNA", at positions 338 to 795 of the family's 1533-position model. The record is from RNAcentral.